This 466-nucleotide ribosomal RNA is filed under the name uncultured bacterium. RNAcentral's name for it is "partial 16S ribosomal RNA". It matches the Rfam family "Bacterial small subunit ribosomal RNA", at positions 28 to 507 of the family's 1533-position model. The record is from RNAcentral.
GAUGAACGCUGGCGGCGUGCUUAACACAUGCCAGUCGAACGGAAAGGCCCAAGCUUGCUUGGGUACUCGAGUGGCGAACGGGUGAGUAACACGUGGGUGAUCUGCCCUGCACUUCGGGAUAAGCCUGGGAAACUGGGUCUAAUACCGGAUAGGACCACAUUUUGGAUGGUGUGGUGGAAAGUUUUUCGGUGUGGGAUGAGCUCGCGGCCUAUCAGCUUGUUGGUGGGGUAAUGGCCUACCAAGGCGUCGACGGGUAGCCGGCCUGAGAGGGUGUACGGCCACAUUGGGACUGAGAUACGGCCCAGACUCCUACGGGAGGCAGCAGCGGGGAAUAUUGCACAAUGGGCGCAAGCCUGAUGCAGCGACGCCGCGUGGGGGAUGACGGCCUUCGGGUUGUAAACUCCUUUCGCUAGGGACGAAGCGUUAUGUGACGGUACCUGGAGAAGAAGCACCGGCUAACUACGUG